This is a non-coding RNA of Paramuricea clavata, 415 nucleotides long. Lineage: Eukaryota; Metazoa; Cnidaria; Anthozoa; Malacalcyonacea; Plexauridae. The record is from the annotation of a GenBank genome assembly.
GACAAAUCAAUGUUUUCUAUCAAAAUAUAUUGCCUGAGUGGGAAAGAACCUGAAUGGAAAGGCCGAGGUUAAGGCAUUGAAACAGUGUCUUAGUACAUACAGUACAUUAUUUUUUUGAAUAAUUUAUUGGGGUAAAUAAACGUCUUGUUUACAAAUCAACUGCACAAAUGAUCGGCAUCCCCAGGGGUUGGUCACCAGGAGGGGGGAUUUGUUACUUUUUGUACAAAAAUAAUAUCCCUCCAGGUAGGGAAAUUGUUUGCAUUUGGCCAGGGAGCAUUUGUAAUUUACCUAGAGGGGGGGGGGGCAAAGGUGAUUUUUGAGACGGGUCACAAUUUAGGGAACUAUAAAAAAUUACCUGAAUAUUAGGCAGGGAACCUUCAACAAAAACUUUCCCUUAGUUUUCAUUUUUGUUGCC